AUUUAUUGGGUUUAAAGGGAGCGUAGGCCGGAGAUUAAGCGUGUUGUGAAAUGUAGAUGCUCAACAUCUGCACUGCAGCGCGAACUGGUUUCCUUGAGUACGCACAAAGUGGGCGGAAUUCGUGGUGUAGCGGUGAAAUGCUUAGAUAUCACGAAGAACUCCGAUUGCGAAGGCAGCUCACUGGAGCGCAACUGACGCUGAAGCUCGAAAGUGCGGGUAUCGAACAGGAUUAGAUACCCUGGUAGUCCGCACGGUAAACGAUGGAUGCCCGCUGUUGGUCUGAAUAGGUCAGCGGCCAAGCGAAAGCAUUAAGCAUCCCACCUGGGGAGUACGCCGGCAACGGUGCAACUCAAAGG
RNAcentral lists this ribosomal RNA (356 nucleotides) under uncultured Bacteroidota bacterium. Its description in RNAcentral is "bacterial SSU rRNA". It matches the Rfam family "Bacterial small subunit ribosomal RNA", at positions 549 to 907 of the family's 1533-position model. The record is from RNAcentral. Lineage: Bacteria; Pseudomonadati; Bacteroidota.